UGUAUGUGUGUGUUUGUUCAGCUGGUGGAUAAAGGGAUGAAAGACACAUGCAAAAAUAAAUCCCCUUUUGCAACCUAGAACUCAUUGCUCAGUAUGAGUUUUGAUACAUACAAGAAGAACUAUG
RNAcentral lists this small nucleolar RNA (124 nucleotides) under Nannospalax galili (Upper Galilee mountains blind mole rat). RNAcentral's name for it is "Small nucleolar RNA SNORA40 (ENSNGAG00000003491.1)". It matches the Rfam family "Small nucleolar RNA SNORA40". From Rfam's summary of the family: The snoRNA ACA 40 belongs to the H/ACA family of snoRNAs and guides the pseudouridylation of 28S rRNA subunit at position U4565. Lineage: Eukaryota; Metazoa; Chordata; Mammalia; Rodentia; Spalacidae. The record is from Rfam by way of RNAcentral.